Non-coding RNA from Pelobates cultripes (western spadefoot toad), 678 nucleotides. The record is from the annotation of a GenBank genome assembly. Lineage: Eukaryota; Metazoa; Chordata; Amphibia; Anura; Pelobatidae.
CCCACAUACAUCAUAGCGCUUAAGGCCACCACACACUACUGCUGAUAUCCCCCCACAGUACACUUCAGUUCUUAUUCCUCCCUACACUACAUUUCUCCUCCACACAGACACACUACACCACUAACAGCCCCAUUCACAAACACACAACCCCAUUAGAAGAAUACCCCCUUACGCAACCCCUCAAAGAGCCUCUGCACAUACAUGUAACCCAAAAGUAAAAUCCUCACACAUAUGCAAGCCCACAAGCAGGUCCACACACAGAAUACAUAGUGACAUCAUGAUGUUAGUCAUUCAGUCAUUUUGGAGGAGCCAAUAUACCCAAUGGUGGACGAGAAGGUAGGUUGCACUAAAGGGGAAUCAAACUGAGAUGUCCAUUCUGAUGCAUAGAAAAGGAAUCAAGGGAAAACAAAAACCCACAACAUUCCAUAAAUUAAGCUCAAUGUGUAAGUAUUAUAUUCUGUUUUAAUGUGUCAAACAACUGGUGAAAUGAUAACCACAUUAACCUCAACAAGUAAGAUUUAUUUAAGAAAAGGCAGAUUGUAAUAUCUUUUUACCAAAUUCUGCUUCAUCGGCAGGCACAUUAACCCCUUAAGGACACAUGACAUGUCACGAUUCCCUUUUAUUCCAGAAGUUUGGUCCUUAAGGGGUUAAAGGGAAAUUGUCACCACUUACUUGACC